This 408-nucleotide unclassified non-coding RNA is filed under the name uncultured Funneliformis. RNAcentral's name for it is "sequence contains 28S rRNA gene". Lineage: Eukaryota; Fungi; Glomeromycota; Glomeromycetes; Glomerales; Glomeraceae. The record is from RNAcentral.
AGUUAAACAGUACGUGAAAUUGUUGAAAGGGAAACGAUUGAAGUCAGUCAUACCAACGGGAAAUCAACCUCUUGAGUUUGGUCUCGUGGGUUUCGAAGAGUUUAAAAGCCUUCGGAUUUUCGAGAUUGGGUUCUUCUGGUGUACUUUCUCGUACGGUUAGUCAACAUCGGUUUUGAAUGUCAUAAAAUGGCUGGAGGAAUGUGGCUUCGAUCUCGUAUUGAAGUGUUAUAACCUUUGGUAGAUGUGAUGUUUGAGACCGAGGAUUGCAACGGAUACCCUUCUGGGCUAUUCGUCUGAUCUCUGAAACGUUGCCUUGAUGUCGAAAGCUUGCUUAUGAUGUUAGGGUAUUACGGUCAAAAGGUUAGAACGGAUUAAAUUCGUUAAGGAUGUUGACGUAAUGACUUUAAA